Molecule: ribosomal RNA, 422 nt
Filed under: uncultured bacterium
Lineage: Bacteria
Description: bacterial SSU rRNA
Rfam family: Bacterial small subunit ribosomal RNA
Source: RNAcentral
UAGGGAAUACUGGGCAAUGGUCGAGAGACUGACCCAGCCAUGCCGCGUGCAGGAUGAAGGCUUUCUGAGUCGUAAACUGCUUUUACCAGGGAAGAAAAAAGGGGAUGCGUCCUCUACUGACGGUACCUGGUGAAUAAGCACCGGCUAACUCCGUGCCAGCAGCCGCGGUAAUACGGAGGGUGCAAGCGUUGUCCGGAUUUAUUGGGUUUAAAGGGUGCGUAGGCGGCUUUUUAAGUCCGGGGUGAAAGCCCGUUGCUCAACAACGGAACUGCCCCGGAAACUGGAGAGCUUGAGUACAGACGAGGGUGGCGGAAUGGACGGUGUAGCGGUGAAAUGCAUAGAUACCGUCCAGAACCCCGAUUGCGAAGGCAGCUGCCUAGACUGUAACUGACGCUGAGGCACGAAAGCGUGGGGAGCGAACA